GAGAGUUUGAUUCUGGCUCAGGACGAACGCUGGCGGCGUGCCUAACACAUGCAAGUCGAACGGGGUGAUUCCUUCGGGGAUCACUUAGUGGCGAACGGGUGAGUAACGCGUGAAGAACCUGCCUUUCAGUGGGGGACAACAGUUGGAAACGACUGCUAAUACCGCAUGACACUUCUUGGAGGCAUCUCUGAGAAGUCAAAGCUUUAUGUGCUGAAAGAUGGCUUCGCGUCUGAUUAGCUGGUUGGCGGGGUAACGGCCCACCAAGGCGACGAUCAGUAGCCGGUCUGAGAGGAUGAACGGCCACAUUGGGACUGAGAUACGGCCCAGACUCCUACGGGAGGCAGCAGUGGGGAAUAUUGGGCAAUGGGGGAAACCCUGACCCAGCAACGCCGCGUGAAGGAAGAAGGCCCUCGGGUUGUAAACUUCUUUUACCAGGGACGAAGGACGUGACGGUACCUGGAGAAAAAGCAACGGCUAA
Molecule: ribosomal RNA, 478 nt
Filed under: uncultured manure pit bacterium P322
Lineage: Bacteria
Description: bacterial SSU rRNA
Rfam family: Bacterial small subunit ribosomal RNA
Source: RNAcentral